UACGUAGGGUGCAAGCGUUGUCCGGAAUUAUUGGGCGUAAAGAGCUCGUAGGCGGUCUGUCGCGUCGGAAGUGAAAACCCGGGGCUCAACCCCGGGCCUGCUUUCGAUACGGGCAGACUAGAGUUCGGCAGGGGAGACUGGAAUUCCUGGUGUAGCGGUGGAAUGCGCAGAUAUCAGGAGGAACACCAAUGGCGAAGGCAGAUCUCUGGGCCGUAACUGACGCUGAGGAGCGAAAGCAUGGGGAGCGAACAGG
Molecule: ribosomal RNA, 253 nt
Filed under: uncultured bacterium
Lineage: Bacteria
Description: partial 16S ribosomal RNA
Rfam family: Bacterial small subunit ribosomal RNA
Source: RNAcentral